This 497-nucleotide ribosomal RNA is filed under the name uncultured bacterium. RNAcentral's name for it is "partial 16S ribosomal RNA". It matches the Rfam family "Bacterial small subunit ribosomal RNA", at positions 28 to 507 of the family's 1533-position model. The record is from RNAcentral.
GAUGAACGCUGGCGGCGUGCCUAAUACAUGCAAGUCGAGCGAACAGACGAGGAGCUUGCUCCUCUGACGUUAGCGGCGGACGGGUGAGUAACACGUGGAUAACCUACCUAUAAGACUGGGAUAACUUCGGGAAACCGGAGCUAAUACCGGAUAAUAUAUUGAACCGCAUGGUUCAAUAGUGAAAGACGGUUUUGCUGUCACUUAUAGAUGGAUCCGCGCCGCAUUAGCUAGUUGGUAAGGUAACGGCUUACCAAGGCAACGAUGCGUAGCCGACCUGAGAGGGUGAUCGGCCACACUGGAACUGAGACACGGCCCAGACUCCUACGGGAGGCAGCAGUAGGGAAUCUUCCGCAAUGGGCGAAAGCUUGACGGAGCAACGCCGCGUGAGUGAUGAAGGUCUUCGGAUCGUAAACCUCUGUUAUUAGGGAAGAACAAAUGUGUAAGUAACUAUGCACGUCUUGACGGUACCUAAUCAGAAAGCCACGGCUAACUACGUG